AGUGAACGCUGGCGGUAGGCCUAACACAUGCAAGUCGAACGGCAGCACAGUAAGAGCUUGCUCUUACGGGUGGCGAGUGGCGGACGGGUGAGGAAUACAUCGGAAUCUACUUUUUCGUGGGGGAUAACGUAGGGAAACUUACGCUAAUACCGCAUACGACCUACGGGUGAAAGCAGGGGAUCUUCGGACCUUGCGCGAUUGAAUGAGCCGAUGUCGGAUUAGCUAGUUGGCGGGGUAAAGGCCCACCAAGGCGACGAUCCGUAGCUGGUCUGAGAGGAUGAUCCGCCACAACGGGAAUGGAACCACGGCCCGGCCCCCGACGGGAGGAGCCAGGGGGAAUUUUGGGACAAGGGCGGAAAGCCGGACCAACCAUUCCCGGGGGGGGAAAGAAGCCUUUGGGGUGUAAAACCCUUUUUGUGGGAAAAAAAAAGCAGCGGUUUAAUCCCCCGCUGUUCUGACGGUACCAAAAAAAAAAGCCCCGGCAAGCUUCGUC
Molecule: ribosomal RNA, 493 nt
Filed under: uncultured bacterium
Lineage: Bacteria
Description: partial 16S ribosomal RNA
Rfam family: Bacterial small subunit ribosomal RNA
Source: RNAcentral